RNAcentral lists this ribosomal RNA (545 nucleotides) under Salmonella enterica subsp. enterica serovar Derby. RNAcentral describes it as "partial 23S ribosomal RNA". It matches the Rfam family "Bacterial large subunit ribosomal RNA", at positions 709 to 1251 of the family's 2925-position model. Lineage: Bacteria; Pseudomonadati; Pseudomonadota; Gammaproteobacteria; Enterobacterales; Enterobacteriaceae. The record is from RNAcentral.
AUAGACCCGAAACCCGGUGAUCUAGCCAUGGGCAGGUUGAAGGUUGGGUAACACUAACUGGAGGACCGAACCGACUAAUGUUGAAAAAUUAGCGGAUGACCUGUGGCUGGGGGUGAAAGGCCAAUCAAACCGGGAGAUAGCUGGUUCUCCCCGAAAGCUAUUUAGGUAGCGCCUCGUGAAUUCAUCUCCGGGGGUAGAGCACUGUUUCGGCUAGGGGGCCAUCCCGGCUUACCAACCCGAUGCAAACUGCGAAUACCGGAGAAUGUUAUCACGGGAGACACACGGCGGGUGCUAACGUCCGUCGUGAAGAGGGAAACAACCCAGACCGCCAGCUAAGGUCCCAAAGUCAUGGUUAAGUGGGAAACGAUGUGGGAAGGCCCAGACAGCCAGGAUGUUGGCUUAGAAGCAGCCAUCAUUUAAAGAAAGCGUAAUAGCUCACUGGUCGAGUCGGCCUGCGCGGAAGAUGUAACGGGGCUAAACCAUGCACCGAAGCUGCGGCAGCGACGCUGAUGCGUUGUUGGGUAGGGGAGCGUUCUGUAAGCCUG